AACGAACGCUGGCGGCAUGCCUAACACAUGCAAGUCGAACGAGACCUUCGGGUCUAGUGGCGCACGGGUGCGUAACGCGUGGGAACCUGCCCUUAGGUUCGGAAUAACUCCCCGAAAGGGGUGCUAAUACCGGAUAAUGUCUUCGGACCAAAGAUUUAUCGCCUUUGGAUGGGGCCGCGUUGGAUUAGCUAGUUGGUAGGGUAAAAGCCUACCAAGGCGACGAUCCAUAGCUGGUCUGAGAGGAUGAUCAGCCACACUGGGACUGAGACACGGCCCAGACUCCCACCGGGGGCAGCCGUGGGGAAUAUUUGACAAUGGGGCAAAGCCUGAUCCCACCAUGCCGGGUGAGUUAAUAAGGGCUUAGGGUUGUAAAACUCUUUUUACCGGGAUGAUAAUGACAGUACCGGGAGAAUAAGCUCCGGCUAACUCCGUG
Molecule: ribosomal RNA, 433 nt
Filed under: uncultured bacterium
Lineage: Bacteria
Description: partial 16S ribosomal RNA
Rfam family: Bacterial small subunit ribosomal RNA
Source: RNAcentral